GGGCCCGCACAAGCGGUGGAGUAUGUGGUUUAAUUCGAUGCAACGCGAAGAACCUUACCAGGGUUUGACAUCCUGCGAAUCUCUUGGAAACGAGAGAGUGCCUUCGGGAGCGCAGUGACAGGUGGUGCAUGGCUGUCGUCAGCUCGUGUCGUGAGAUGUUGGGUUAAGUCCCGCAACGAGCGCAACCCACGUCUUUAGUUGCCAGCAUUUAGUUGGGCACUCUAGAGAGACCGCCGGUGAUAAACCGGAGGAAGGUGUGGAUGACGUCAAGUCAUCAUGCCCCUUACAUCCUGGGCUACACACGUACUACAAUGCUACGGACAAAGGGCAGCAAGUUCGCGAGGAC
RNAcentral lists this ribosomal RNA (346 nucleotides) under uncultured bacterium. RNAcentral's name for it is "bacterial SSU rRNA". It matches the Rfam family "Bacterial small subunit ribosomal RNA", at positions 917 to 1264 of the family's 1533-position model. The record is from RNAcentral.